This 440-nucleotide ribosomal RNA is filed under the name uncultured bacterium. RNAcentral describes it as "partial 16S ribosomal RNA". It matches the Rfam family "Bacterial small subunit ribosomal RNA", at positions 338 to 795 of the family's 1533-position model. The record is from RNAcentral.
CCUACGGGGGGCUGCAGUGGGGGAUAUUGCACAAUGGGGGGAACCCUGAUGCAGCGACGCCGCGUGGGUGAAGAAGCGCCUCGGCGCGUAAAGCCCUGUCAGCAGGGAAGAAAAUGACGGUACCUGACGAAGAAGCCCCGGCUAACUACGUGCCAGCAGCCGCGGUAAUACGUAGGGGGCAAGCGUUAUCCGGAUUUACUGGGUGUAAAGGGGGCGCAGACGGCGAUGCAAGCCAGGAGUGAAAGCCCGGGGCCCAACCCCGGGACUGCUCUUGGAACUGCGUGGCUGGAGUGCAGGAGGGGCAGGCGGAAUUCCUGGUGUAGCGGUGAAAUGCGUAGAUAUCAGGAGGAACACCGGUGGCGAAGGCGGCCUGCUGGACUGCAACUGACGUUGAGGCCCGAAAGCGUGGGGAGCAAACAGGAUUAGAUACCCGAGUAGUC